This 72-nucleotide transfer RNA is filed under the name Ovis aries (sheep). It matches the Rfam family "tRNA". Rfam says of the family: Transfer RNA (tRNA) molecules are approximately 80 nucleotides in length. Their secondary structure includes four short double-helical elements and three loops (D, anti-codon, and T loops). Further hydrogen bonds mediate the characteristic L-shaped molecular structure. tRNAs have two regions of fundamental functional importance: the anti-codon, which is responsible for specific mRNA codon recognition, and the 3' end, to which the tRNAs corresponding amino acid is attached (by aminoacyl-tRNA synthetases). tRNAs cope with the degeneracy of the genetic code in two manners: having more than one tRNA (with a specific anti-codon) for a particular amino acid; and 'wobble' base-pairing, i.e. permitting non-standard base-pairing at the 3rd anti-codon position. The record is from Rfam by way of RNAcentral. Lineage: Eukaryota; Metazoa; Chordata; Mammalia; Artiodactyla; Bovidae.
UCCUCGGUGGCUCAGAUGGUAGAGAAUCUGCCUGAAAUGUAGGAGACCUGGGUUCAAACCCUGGUUCAGGAA